CACUCCCGGAAGGGGAGGUAGUGACAAAAAAUAACGAUACGGGACUCGAUAUGAGGCCUCGUAAUCGGAAUGAGUACACUCUAAAUCCUUUAACAAAAAUCUAUUGGAGGGCAAGUCUGGUGCCAGCAGCCGCGGUAAUUCCAGCUCCAAUAGCGUAUAUUAAAGUUGUUGCGGUUAAAAAGCUCGUAGUUGGUUCUGCGUCCCGCGCUGUCGGUACACCGUUUGUCGGUGACACUGGCAUGACGCGGGAUGUCCUGUCGGUGGCGGCGGAGACCAUAUCGUCGUCGGAUAACACCGCGGCGUGUUGGCCUUCUGUCGCCGGCUAUAUCCUACCGCGGUGCUCUUCACUGAGUGUCGAGGUAGGCCGACACGUUUACUUUGAACAAAUUAGAGUGCUUAAAGCAGGCAAAAAUCUCUGCCAGAAUAGUGGUGCAUGGAAUAAUGGAACAGGACCUUGGUUCUAUUCUGUUGGUCUCCGGAACACAAGGUAAUGAUCAAUGUGGACAGGCGGGGGCAUUCGUAUUGCGGCGUUAGAGGUGAAAUUCUUGGAUCGUCGCAAGACGCACUAGAGCGAAAGCAAUUGCCAAGUAUGUCUUAAUUGAUCAAGAACGAAAGUUAGAGGUUCGAAGGCGAUCAGAUACCGCCCUAGUUCUAACCAUAAACGAUGCCAGCCAGCGAUCCGCCGAUGUUCCUUUGAUGACUCGGCGGGGAGCUUUCCCCGGGAAACCAAAGCUUUUGGGUUCCGGGGGAAGUAUGGUUGCAAAGCUGAAACUUAAAGGAAUUGACGGAAGGGCACCACCAGAAGUGGAGCCUGCGGCUUAAUUUGACUCAACACGGGAAACCUCACCAGGUCAGGACAUUGGAAUGAUUGACAGAUUGAUAGCUCUUUCUUGAUUCAGUGCC
This 903-nucleotide ribosomal RNA is filed under the name Cimex hemipterus. RNAcentral describes it as "SSU rRNA". It matches the Rfam family "Eukaryotic small subunit ribosomal RNA", at positions 446 to 1274 of the family's 1831-position model. The record is from RNAcentral. Lineage: Eukaryota; Metazoa; Arthropoda; Insecta; Hemiptera; Cimicidae.